UACGGGGGGAGCAAGCGUUGUUCGGAUUUACUGGGCGUAAAGGGCGCGUAGGCGGCCCGCUAAGUCGAACGUGAAAUCCCCAGGCUCAACCUGGGAACUGCGUCCGAUACUGGAUGGCUUGAAUUCGGGAGAGGGAUGCAGAAUUCCAGGUGUAGCGGUGAAAUGCGUAGAUAUCUGGAGGAAUACCGGUGGCGAAGGCGGCAUCCUGGACCGACAUUGACGCUGAUGAGCGAAAGCUAGGGGAGCAAACGGGAU
This 255-nucleotide ribosomal RNA is filed under the name uncultured bacterium. Its description in RNAcentral is "partial 16S ribosomal RNA". It matches the Rfam family "Bacterial small subunit ribosomal RNA", at positions 524 to 778 of the family's 1533-position model. The record is from RNAcentral.